UAGGGAAUCUUCCACAAUGGACGCAAGUCUGAUGGAGCAACGCCGCGUGAGUGAAGAAGGCUUUCGGGUCGUAAAACUCUGUUAUUGAAGAAGAACGUGUGUGACAGUAACUGGUCAUGCAGUGACGGUAUUCAAUCAGAAAGUCACGGCUAACUACGUGCCAGCAGCCGCGGUAAUACGUAGGUGGCAAGCGUUGUCCGGAUUUAUUGGGCGUAAAGCGAGUGCAGGCGGUCUUUUAAGUCUGAUGUGAAAGCCUUCGGCUUAACCGAAGAAGGGCAUCGGAAACUGGGAGACUUGAGUGCAGAAGAGGAGAGUGGAACUCCAUGUGUAGCGGUGAAAUGCGUAGAUAUAUGGAAGAACACCAGUGGCGAAGGCGGCUCUCUGGUCUGUAACUGACGCU
RNAcentral lists this ribosomal RNA (400 nucleotides) under uncultured bacterium. RNAcentral's name for it is "bacterial SSU rRNA". It matches the Rfam family "Bacterial small subunit ribosomal RNA", at positions 355 to 747 of the family's 1533-position model. The record is from RNAcentral.